AUUUGUGCAUAAUUUCUAAUUUGAGUAGGCUACAAUCCAUAGGUCCUAGCUGACAACGUCUCGGAUAUAGGACAACUUCUUCUCAGGGACGUGGCAGAUAUGGAGCCUCUGAUGAUUCUCCUUCUGCUAGCAGGACUAGUAGGGAAGACAUCAGCGACAAACACAACAGCAACAACCACAAGUUUUUGGGUCAAUACAAUAAUGG
Long non-coding RNA from Coregonus clupeaformis (lake whitefish), 205 nucleotides. RefSeq lists it as uncharacterized. Lineage: Eukaryota; Metazoa; Chordata; Actinopteri; Salmoniformes; Salmonidae. The transcript is spliced from 3 exons. The record is from RefSeq and is a predicted model, not a curated record.